This 441-nucleotide ribosomal RNA is filed under the name uncultured bacterium. RNAcentral's name for it is "partial 16S ribosomal RNA". It matches the Rfam family "Bacterial small subunit ribosomal RNA", at positions 338 to 795 of the family's 1533-position model. The record is from RNAcentral.
CCUACGGGAGGCAGCAGUGGGGAAUAUUGCGCAAUGGGGGAAACCCUGACGCAGCAACGCCGCGUGAGUGAAGACGUAUCUCGGUAUGUAAAGCUCUAUCAGCGGGGAAGAAGGAAGACGGUACCCGACUAAGAAGCCCCGGCUAACUACGUGACAGCAGCCGCGGUAAUACGUAGGGGGCGAGCGUUAGCCGGAUUUACUGGGUGUAAAGGGGUCGUAAACGGCGGCGCAAGUCUGAAGUGAAAGCCCAGGGCUAAACCGCGGAACCGCUUUGGAAACUGGGAGGCUGGAGUGCUGGAGAGGUAAGCGGAAUUCCGGGUGUAGCGGUGAAAUGCGUAGAUAUCAGGAGGAACACCGGUGGCGAAGGCGGCUUACUGGACAGUGACUGACGUUGAGGCUCGAAAGCGUGGGGAGCGAACAGGAUUAGAUACCCUAGUAGUC